Molecule: ribosomal RNA, 397 nt
Filed under: Sclerophrys xeros (desert toad)
Lineage: Eukaryota; Metazoa; Chordata; Amphibia; Anura; Bufonidae
Description: partial 12S ribosomal RNA
Rfam family: Bacterial small subunit ribosomal RNA
Source: RNAcentral
GCCCAGCCGUAAACUUUUAUUUACAUCUUAAUCGCCAGGGAACUACGAGCUAAGCUUAAAACCCAAAGGACUUGACGGUACCCCAUAUCCCCCUAGAGGAGCCUGUCCUAUAAUCGAUAAUCCACGUUUAACCUCACCAUUUUUAGUUAAUCAGCCUGUAUACCUCCGUCGUCAGCUUACCACGUGAGCGCCAAUUAGUGAGCUUAAUGUUACUUCACCAACACGUCAGGUCAAGGUGCAGCAAAUGAAAUGGGAAGAGAUGGGCUACACUUUCUAAUGUAGAAGAAACGAAAAACUACCUAUGAAACCUAGUUGGAAGGCGGAUUUAGCAGUAAAAAGAAAUCAUCAUGUUCAUUUUAACUCGGCACUGGGGUGUGUACACACCGCCCGUCACCCU